Molecule: long non-coding RNA, 3215 nt
Organism: Gopherus evgoodei (Goodes thornscrub tortoise)
Lineage: Eukaryota; Metazoa; Chordata; Testudines; Testudinidae
Exons: 3
Source: RefSeq, a predicted model, not a curated record
GAGACCCCAGGGGGAGGGCGGGAAAGUGACUCUGCCCCGGGGAGCCUGGGAGAAGCCUCGGAGCUGCCUCCGCCCCAUGAGCUGCACCAGGAUCCGCCCCGGCCCCGCUUGGAUGGGGGGGUGGAGUCUGGGGCCCGGUGGGGGGAGCGGGGCGGAGCCUGGGGCCCGGCGGGGGGCGGGGCGGUGUUUUAAACCGCUCGCGUUAGCAAUAUGCUACUCACCGCGUAUUGCGCAUGCUCAGUAACAGCUGCUGAAGCCGCUGCCCUUCCCUCUGCCCGUAUCAUCCGGAACGUUCCGCUGGGCGCUAGUGACAGGGGCUGGGAGGGGCGAUGGGAACAGCGGGGUGUGUGGCCGGGGGCUGAAUAGGGGGAGGGAAUUGACUGGUCGGGGGGGGGUCAAGGACCUGGAGGCAGGGUUGGGGGGGCUAAAUGGCAAAAUCUGGACUGGGGGGGUGAGUCGGGGUUGCACAGGGGGGAAGAUCAUUGGGGUGGGAAAUUUGAACUAUUUCUGUGCAGCCAGGAAAUCCCCAUGGGGUGGGGGUAAGUUCACUGAAUCCUUCCUUGUUUGUGCCACUUCCUCCCACACACACAGUCUUGUCAAGCUUUUUUCCCCUUUCUCUCGUUAUCGUACGUGGCUAUAAAAUCCAGGGAGAUCCCCCCCCCCCCCAGUGAUCCGCUCUCUAAUCUCCCCCGAUAUUGCCCUGCUCUCUCCAUACUUCUCAAGGGUCCAUUUAAAAUCUCUCCGAUGUGGCAGUUUUUCCCACCCAUUUUAUCUGCAGCGUUUUGUUCUUGUUUAGGUGGGAAAUUGUUGCCCUGGGUCAUUCCCCAGAACAUGGUUGUCCCUGGUGUGGGGCUGGGAUGAGAUGCCCAUUCCCUGCCAGGGCGGGGACGCGAAGAGCACGUGUCCCCCAUGGAGACUGCCCAGACCCGUUUCCCAAACCCACCCAGUGACCCCAAACUACCAACACAGUUUCCCCCAGCCCUCAGUUGCCAGUCACUUGCCCAUCACCUGCUGCUGCCCCCUUCCUUUGUCCAGGGAGCCUUCCAGCUCCAGCUCACCCCCCCCCUUGCCCUCUUAAAUCAGCUCCUCAAAGGGCUCCUUGCUGCCCAUGUGAAUGGUGGCAGUGGGGAACCAUCACUUUCUGUUUAUGUUUUGGAUAGUCUCAUAAAAUCCAGUCAAACAGUCCCCCUUUCCCUCUAGUUAUUUAACAGCAACAUAAAAUCCCCUCAGAUCUUGGUAUUUUUCUCUCAUUAUCAAUUGCUUACCUUGUGACACGUUUUCUCUGCAAAUCUCAAAGACUGAUAUAAAAUAUCCUAAACAUUUGCCCUACUUCUCUCUAGUUGUCUAUUUCUAAUUGAAUAUGCCUUGAGAUUUUUUCCCCUGUCUCUCUAAUGAUAAAAUACAAAGAAAAUCUCAGAUUUACACCUUUCCUCAGAUUCUUGAACAUGGAUAUAAAAUGUUUGCAAAUGUUGCCCAUUUCUGCUCUAUUCAAUUAUCAAAUAUUGAUGUGACAUACACUCAGAUUUUACCUCAUACCAACAACUGAUAUAAAAUCCCUCCGAUUUUACACUUUUCUCUCUAUAAUUGGCAAAAGUGGAUCCAAAAUGGCUCAGAUUUCCACCCUUUCUCUUUCAUUUCUGCACAUUGAUCUCAGAGCUCAGGAUUUCCCUCUUUCUAUGUCAUUAUCAAAUAUCAAUAAAAAAUCCUCUCGGUUUUGGGACUGUUCCCUGUGUUUCUAAAUCCCAGCAACUUCUUCCUUCCAGUGAACCUGUUGCCCUGAAUCAUUCUUCAUCCUGGAUGUUGCAGAGGGUUAAAUUGCCCAGUGAUCAUCUUUCCCCUCUCCUUGGAGAAUCAUUUCUUCCCCCCUUUAUCUUUGUUAAAAUGUUUGCCAAAGAAAGAGACCAGCCACAUAUUUAAUACACAUCAAAGCCAGAAGCCUCUCCCUGUUUGGGGAUCAGUGGUUCCCAGCUGGUAACAGGAGAGUUGGCUGGACCCUUUUCUUUUCUCCAGCUGUCACAGGAUGAGGAGGUCACUCUGAGUGCAGCGUGGGUCCAGAAGUAUCCCAAACCCCAUGACAAAUGGCCUCUGUGAGGGGCUGCUUCCCACAUUGCUAAGAUAUAGCCACCUUGGGAUGGAUCCAUGGUGACCAUUAUUUGCUAGUGACAGGGCAUGGACAUGUCUUAUCUUUCUGCCUGAAGGGCAGGCAGGGGUCCUAGGCAGGCAGUAGGAAAAUCCCAGGCAGGCAGUGAGUUCCCAGUUGGGGUCCCCUUGGGGGCUGGCUGGUGGGGGCUCUUGGUAGGGGGAAACCUUUGGGAUUCCUAGCCUGGCAGUGAAGAUCUGGUGGUGGUUCUCUGGCUGGUGGGGCUCUGAAGGGUAUCUGGGGUCUCUAGCCAGGGAUUCUGGUGGUUGGGUCCCAGGGAAUAUCUGGUGGGACCCUGGCUGGGAGGUCUGGGUACUGGGGAUGUUUGGGGGCCCCUGGAUGGAGGCUCUGGGGGCUGCUACUAACCAUGUUCCUUCUAUCUCAUCAGCUUGUGCCAGAAUCCUGGCUCCAAGCACUGCCCGGCAUUCGCCAGCCAGGCCCAGACACUGUGAUAACUUUCUAGCCACUUACCAAACACUGUGAGGCUUUGUGUUCAGAGACAAAGAGCAGGUCUAGCCUACCACCGGCUCGGCAGGUGGUGCUCUCCCGUCAACUCCAGUACUCCACUGCCUCAAGGGGCGAAUGCGGACUCGAUGGGUUAGCAGCAGCAGUCGGAUGCUGCAGUAAGUCGAUCUAAGGAAACCAACUUCAGCUACGCUAUUCUCAUAGCUGAAGUUGCGUAUCUUAGAUCAGCCUCCACCUCAGUUGUAGACCAGGGUUUUGUUAUGGGAUGGAGGGACGGAGAAGAGAGGUUAAAAAUAUCUCUCUGGGCUUAGCCUGGCAGGAGGGACCAGGAUUACACUAUAAUAAAGAGAUCAAGCAUUUUCCCAGGAUGGCAGAAUCUAGGAUGUCUGUCUGCAGGGAAAGGGCCUGGGGGAAUUGUGAUGUGAAACUAACUAAAACCUGUUCUGAAACCUCCACAAUUGCCCUUCUCGCCCUGCCAAGCUUGCAGAAUGAGGUCCAUGUUUCACUCUAGCUCAUUCCAUCCUCUCAUGGGACAUAGGAGAGAAAUGGCUGCAGUGGAGCCAGCUCAGGGGCUGGUGACCUUCGAGGAGGUGGCUGUGUAUUUCACCAG